UUCAUCUUUGCUGCCUAGUCCAUCAUUUCUGAUCUAAUAGAUGUUCACAAGCUCAGGUAAAGAAUUGGAGCCUACUCUAAUUGAAAUAUCAUCUCGAAGUUCUAGUGCACAUGGAAAAUUAAACCGAGUUUUGUUUAUGGAUGAAGUUGUGGAUUGUUCCUUUAAAAGUUCCUGCAACAUUUUCUACUGUGUCUUCUUCCUCUUCUGGACUUACUAUAUCUUUGUCUAUCCUGCUAAAGUGCUUCGUCUGCUUUAAUGGUUAUUAUAGAAGCAUUUUUGUAUUACGCCUAUUAUCAAAAAACUAAUUUUGGUCUUUUACUAUUUUUUUGGAAAUAAGUAACUUACUUAGGACUUCCACUUAUCAUUCAGAAUUUGUUGUCGUUCUGCUUUUCUUAGAGCUGAAGGAGAAAUAGAAAAGGUGAAGAAUCUCGAGUUCUCAAUUGUGUAUGCUCUCAGGUGGUAAUAUAAUUAUAUCGGGUAGCUACUAGGAUUCGGUUCCUAUAUAGACAUGUUGGAUGAAAGAUACAUCUUUUAGAGCUUGUGGAAAUUUUUUUUGGAGGUUUGGAAGUGUCUUACUUAUACGUCCGCAACCAGGUUGAAUGAAAGAUGGAUCUCUCAGAGCUUAAGGAAAAAUAUCAUCAUCUCUAGAGGUUUGAAAGUUGGAAUUUGUUUGUUAGAAUUAUUACAAACAACUCUUCAUUUGAAGGACAUUUCAUAAUCGUUUGAAUAUUUCUAUAAACUUUGUUCCUCAAUCCAAGUAUUGUGAAGUGUUAAUAUGUUGUAAACAUGAGAUUU
Solanum stenotomum is the source of this 795-nucleotide long non-coding RNA. RefSeq lists it as uncharacterized. The record is from RefSeq and is a predicted model, not a curated record. The transcript has 3 exons. NCBI's taxonomy places the organism in Eukaryota, Viridiplantae, Streptophyta, Magnoliopsida, Solanales, Solanaceae.